GAAAUGCGAUAAGUAAUGUGAAUUGCAGAAUUCAGUGAAUCAUCGAAUCUUUGAAUGCACCUUGCGCUCCUUGGUAUUCCUUGGAGCAUGCCUGUUUGAGUAUCAUGAAAUCUUCAAAGUAAAUCUUUUGUUAACUCAAUUGGUUUCUACUUUGGUAUUGGAGGUCUUUGCAGCUCCACACCUGCUCCUCUUUGUUCAUUAGCUGGAUCUCAGUGUUAUGCUUGGUUCCACUCGGCGUGAUAAGUUAUCUAUCGCUGAGGACACUGUAAAAGGUGGCCAAGGUAAAUGCAGAUGAACCGCUUCUAAUAGUCCAUUGACUUGGACAAUACUUUUAUGAUCUGAUCUCAAAUCAGGUAGGACUACCCGCUGAACUUAAGC
Molecule: unclassified non-coding RNA, 378 nt
Filed under: plant metagenome
Description: partial contains 5.8S ribosomal RNA, internal transcribed spacer 2, and large subunit ribosomal RNA
Rfam family: 5.8S ribosomal RNA (bases 1-105)
Source: RNAcentral